Molecule: long non-coding RNA, 513 nt
Organism: Cyprinodon tularosa
Lineage: Eukaryota; Metazoa; Chordata; Actinopteri; Cyprinodontiformes; Cyprinodontidae
Exons: 5
Source: RefSeq, a predicted model, not a curated record
CCAUAAUGCAAAACCCACAAAAUCAACAAAAGGUCCAGAGAAGAACUACAAAAGGAGAGAAAGCGGAAAAAAGUUAAUGAGAGGGCAAAAUGUGAGGCUGUGUGCUGAUGACCACACCUAUGCCAAAGGAGCCGAGGCACAAAUUGAGGUAGAAAGGAUACCGCCAAUCUUACAGAUGCGGAGGAGAGGAGAUUACCCUCGUUACUACUGUGAUGGCAUACCUGGACUUUGCCCUGAGUGCCAACAUUGAAUUCAAAGAAAAUAAAAGUUGCUUUCCACAAUCUGUCACAUAUUGUUAGUUUUUUUGUGACAUGCCAUUUGAAAUCGUUUCUGAUAAAGAAUAUUUACCUUUUGACUUGUGCAGUCCUCCUUUUUCAUAAUGUGUUCUUUCAAUAUUAUUUACAUUUUUGAAAGUUCCUUUUGUUGUAGCUCAGUUGAUUUACAUCAUUUAGUUUUCAUAGAAAUGGUGUCGUUUCCACAAAGUUACAUUGUGGCUGUAAUUUGUUGGAGAGA